UUUCCGUAGGUGAACCUGCGGAAGGAUCAUUCAUAAUAAAGUGUUUUAUGGCACUUUUUAAAAAUCCAUAUCCACCUUGUGUGCAAUGUUAGAUCUCGUCAAUCUUGGCGAGAUUUUUAUACAUCAACUCAUUCUUUAACUAAUUUGUCUGAAAAAUAUUAUGAAUACUUAAUUCAAAAUACAACUUUCAACAACGGAUCUCUUGGCUCUCGCAUCGAUGAAGCGCAGC
This 229-nucleotide unclassified non-coding RNA is filed under the name plant metagenome. Its description in RNAcentral is "partial contains small subunit ribosomal RNA, internal transcribed spacer 1, and 5.8S ribosomal RNA". The stretch from base 183 to 229 matches the Rfam family "5.8S ribosomal RNA", at positions 1 to 49 of the family's 154-position model. The record is from RNAcentral.